Molecule: long non-coding RNA, 482 nt
Filed under: Homo sapiens (human)
Lineage: Eukaryota; Metazoa; Chordata; Mammalia; Primates; Hominidae
Description: HSALNT0269895
Source: RNAcentral
CAAAAUCAAAUUAAGUUUCCUCUGUCUGGAGCUUGACAAUCCACUGUUUCCAGGGAAAAGCAAGGACUCCAUCAGCAAUCCCCUCCAGGAGGAAUUAUUGAGCAGCUACUACGUGACACAGAGCACGAGUCCCCCAUGACAGAGCCCAAACACUUUUUGAGGACUUUGGGGAAAGCAGGAAGGCCGGACAGCAGUACCUACAGGGGCCAAUGGAUCCAAGGAGAAGGCCCAGCGAAAGGAAGGACCCAGCAGCUCCCCCUUGCCAGCGCUGGAGACCCUGGCUCUGGGGCCCAGUCCCAGCCCUAGUCCAGCAGCGACGGACAGUGCAUCAGUCAAGGGCACUGCUCACCUCCCUCCGGACCCAACCGCCAUGAAGGCCAAAGCCGAGCCCCCAUGCAGGCCAGCUCACGUCCCAUUCUGCCAUGUCUCGGGCUGGAGCGAAUUGUAUUGAUAGAAAAUAAAAUGUCGACAUAAAAAAGAAU